GCUUUCCUGUGGCUCAGUAGGUAGAGUAUUGCAUUAACAACACAAAAGUUGUGGGUUCAAAUCCCAGGGAAAGCA
Molecule: transfer RNA, 75 nt
Filed under: Danionella cerebrum
Lineage: Eukaryota; Metazoa; Chordata; Actinopteri; Cypriniformes; Danionidae
Description: tRNA-Val
Rfam family: tRNA
About the family: Transfer RNA (tRNA) molecules are approximately 80 nucleotides in length. Their secondary structure includes four short double-helical elements and three loops (D, anti-codon, and T loops). Further hydrogen bonds mediate the characteristic L-shaped molecular structure. tRNAs have two regions of fundamental functional importance: the anti-codon, which is responsible for specific mRNA codon recognition, and the 3' end, to which the tRNAs corresponding amino acid is attached (by aminoacyl-tRNA synthetases). tRNAs cope with the degeneracy of the genetic code in two manners: having more than one tRNA (with a specific anti-codon) for a particular amino acid; and 'wobble' base-pairing, i.e. permitting non-standard base-pairing at the 3rd anti-codon position.
Source: RNAcentral